GUAACGCGUGAGCAACCUGCCUUUUACAGGGGGAUAACGUGCCGAAAGGCACACUAAUACCGCAUGAGACCACAAGCAUACAUAUGGAAGGGGUCAAAGGAGAAAUCCGGUAAGAGAUGGGCUCGCGUCCGAUUAGAUAGUUGGUGAGGUAACGGCUCACCAAGUCAACGAUCGGUAGCCGACCUGAGAGGGUGAUCGGCCACAUUGGAACUGAGAGACGGUCCAAACUCCUACGGGAGGCAGCAGUGGGGAAUAUUGGGCAAUGGGGGAAACCCUGACCCAGCGACGCCGCGUGAAGGAAGAAGGUCUUCGGAUUGUAAACUUCUGUUCUUGGUGAAGAGGAAAGACGUGCCAGAGAG
Molecule: ribosomal RNA, 359 nt
Filed under: Clostridiales bacterium canine oral taxon 028
Lineage: Bacteria; Bacillati; Bacillota; Clostridia; Eubacteriales
Description: bacterial SSU rRNA
Rfam family: Bacterial small subunit ribosomal RNA
Source: RNAcentral